CACGUAGGAGGCGAGCGUUGUCCGGAAUCAUUGGGCGUAAAGAGCGCGCAGGCGGCUUGGCAAGUCGGGUGUGAAAUCCCGGGGCUCAACCCCGGGACUGCAUUCGAUACUGUCAGGCUAGAGGUAGGUAGGGGAGAUCGGAAUUCCUGGUGUAGCGGUGGAAUGCGCAGAUAUCAGGAGGAACACCAAUGGCGAAGGCAGAUCUCUGGGCCGUAACUGACGCUGAGGAGCGAAAGCAUGGGGAGCGAACAGG
This 253-nucleotide ribosomal RNA is filed under the name uncultured bacterium. RNAcentral's name for it is "partial 16S ribosomal RNA". It matches the Rfam family "Bacterial small subunit ribosomal RNA", at positions 524 to 776 of the family's 1533-position model. The record is from RNAcentral.